UUUUUUUUUUUUUUUAUAACUCCAUUCUCAACCAGCCGUUAAAGGCAUACAUCUCUUCCCUUCAUCAAUAUUUUCCUCCUCUCUCCCUCUCCUUAGAUAUGGCUUAAGGUUCCUCCAUGGCUUUUACCCUAACUACAAUCAAAAUUAUCUCCAUGACAGAAAACCAAUCUCGUCCUCAACAAAAAAGCCCAAAUUUUCAACAAUGGUGAAACCACAAGCAACUAAACCAAUAAAAGUCGCCCAAUUUUCGGCCACAACGCCUCUUUCGCUGUCCUUCGUCAAUUUUCCUCCACAUCGCUGCCCAAUUUGGAUUUGAUUGUCAAAUUCAAAUUGACUUAUUCAAUUUAUAGAUAUGAAGUAGAUAUAGAGGAGAAAACAUUCUUAAAGAUCUUCAUGGAAUCCUGCAUUUUUGUUUCAAGUAUUAUUUUUUUUUCGCAUUUGAUUUGUAUCAAAAUGUACUUAGUGUUUUUGUCAAAAAAACAAAUGUACUUAGUGUUGUAAUUAAUUGAAUACAGAGGUGAAUAAAAUUUAUUUUGGUAUUG
This is a long non-coding RNA of Chenopodium quinoa (quinoa), 542 nucleotides long. RefSeq lists it as uncharacterized. The record is from RefSeq and is a predicted model, not a curated record. The transcript is spliced from 2 exons. Lineage: Eukaryota; Viridiplantae; Streptophyta; Magnoliopsida; Caryophyllales; Amaranthaceae.